AUCCGUCAUGCGGAAAGGCCCUAUUACCCAAUCGAGGAUCUUCGCAGGAAGAACCGACCUGAGAACCUGGAUUGAGGACCGCAUGUCCUCCUUGAUUCGACCCUCAACUUGACCAUCUUAUAGCGCGUUGAGGGAUGACGACGAUCGGUUUAUAGCCGGUCGCGACGUUUCUGUCUUUGUAUCUCCUUCUUCCUUAAACUUUCCUUUUGUAUAUUUGAAUGUUUCGCUCCAUCUCGCUUCCUUGUCAGCUAUCUUCCCAAAUUUAACCUGUUUGCUGGGUUAAACCCCGGCUCUUUCUCUCCCACUUCAUCUUCUUUUUUCUCUAUCCCUUU
This 332-nucleotide long non-coding RNA is filed under the name Penaeus japonicus. RNAcentral's name for it is "uncharacterized LOC122267661". Lineage: Eukaryota; Metazoa; Arthropoda; Malacostraca; Decapoda; Penaeidae. The record is from RNAcentral.